UCCCUGGUGGUCCAGUGGUUAAGACUCUGUGCUCCCAAUGCUGGGGGCCUGGGUUCCAUCUCCAGUCAGGGAA
This is a non-coding RNA of Bos taurus (domestic cattle), 73 nucleotides long. Lineage: Eukaryota; Metazoa; Chordata; Mammalia; Artiodactyla; Bovidae. The record is from Rfam.